Phragmites australis (common reed) is the source of this 1502-nucleotide long non-coding RNA. RefSeq lists it as uncharacterized. The record is from RefSeq and is a predicted model, not a curated record. The transcript is spliced from 2 exons. NCBI's taxonomy places the organism in Eukaryota, Viridiplantae, Streptophyta, Magnoliopsida, Poales, Poaceae.
AUCACGGGAAUUUUUUUAUUUUAACUUAUUUUAAAAUAAUAUUUUAAAAACAGCAUAUGAGAAUUUAAAAUUCUAGGAAGAAGCCCUUUUGGUCAUGCUAAAGCGAUUGGUGUGACUCCCCAUCUUAGUCGCGCUAUAUGAAUUGAUGUGACUAAGGAGCCACGCUGGCAGCCGUACCGACACCUUGCCACACAUCGUUGAUAUGGUAGCCCUGAGUCACGCCAUAGGGGUUGGCACAACCGUCUGUUAUGCCAAUCCCUUUAGCGUGACUCAGCUGCAUACAGAGAUCGUGUCAGCUCUUCUCUCACAUAGCUCCUCUUCCUCCUCCCAAGUACUUGUUUUCUCCCUUCUUUCCUUUUCUCUAAAUCCUUCAUCAAAUCCAACGAAUUCGGACCGAAAUCAAAUGAGAUUUCACAAGGGAUUGCUCAUUGAAGGAGUGAGAGAUGUGAUACUUCUUCCAAUGGAUUGAUGGGCAUGAAACGGUUUACUCUGUAUCCAAAGCCAUAUGAUAAGUUUGUUCGUUGGGUUCCUCCUCCACCAAAUCCACCAAAACUGACAAAUAAAGAGAAGUGGAAAGUGAGCAAAAGACAUGAGCAGAUCCUUCAUUGUGCAAUUAUGGGAAGCGAAGUGUGCUUUGUGAACCUUAUGGGAGGUCUCCUUACUUCCGUUGUGAAGGGAUGGUAAAAACUGAGCAUGGUUGCUUGUUUAUAGUUUAAAUGAGGUAGAAUUAGAUGUCAUGUAACUUGUAUCAUGAAUUUGAAUGCAGUGCCAUGAUGCUACUUAUAACUUACGAGAUUUAAUGUACGGGUCCCGAUGGUGAAUGUAUGGAGGAGGAAGAGGAUCAAGUGAAGAGGAAAAGGUUGAUAAAACCAUAUCGUCCAAGGAAGUGAACUUGUGGUGUCAAUGCUUGAUACGGGAUAGUGCCCAUUGAACUUGGUGUGAGGUACUACUGUGGACAUAUGGUUGGCAAGGACAUGGUUAGUUUCAGACAUAUUAUCUAUAUUUUCUGUUUCGAUAUCCUAUGUUGGUUGUACCUUGUUAAUGGGGAUUCAUAUGAAUUUGUUUUUGGGAAUAGAGUACGCGAACAUGUUCAUGGGAGGAGUACCUUGAUAAAGAUAAGGUGGAUCAUGAGAUUGCAUGGCGGAGUAAGCGUCAUCCGAUAGUACUGUCAAGCUAUCUGGAGCACCGUAAGAAGGCAACUCAUGAUUUUUAUCUUGCUAUGUAUCCCUAGCACAAGAGGAGAACCAUUGAGGGUUAAGAGGUAGCAGCUAAGGCAGUGCAAAUGGAGACAAUGAAGGCUCUUGGUGCUAACUGGCAUGUGAUUGUCCCGGACGAUGAUGAUGAGUUGCUCUAUGAUGGGUGGGAAGAUUAGCAUAAGGGGUCAGUUUGAUGGUUGCAUAGUUAGUGUCCUAUAUUAAUAUACUAUAUUAUGAACUAUUUGUGAACUUUAUGUGUAACCAUCGUCGAUUAUACUAUAUGAAUCAUAUGAACUGUUUUAUUUA